CCAAUUAUGGCUGACGACACAGCACAGCACAGCAGACAUAGCUUUAUCGACUCGGCUAUUGAUUCUGAUCAAGAAUAUAUAUACCCUAUGGGGUCGGAAACGUUCCUCUCUGUGCGAGGAAACACACACACACACGAUAUGCCUGCACUGCACCCAGCUCCCCAUCCAGGGCUCUUCAUACCCUUCAUAACCCAUGGCCCGCAUUGCCCUUCUAUUCUAGGCGUU
This 225-nucleotide long non-coding RNA is filed under the name Drosophila guanche. The record is from RNAcentral. Lineage: Eukaryota; Metazoa; Arthropoda; Insecta; Diptera; Drosophilidae.